UACGGAGGGUGCAAGCGUUAAUCGGAAUUUCUGGGCGUAAAGCGCGCGUAGGCGGUUUUUUAAGUCGGAUGUGAAAGCCCCGGGCUCAACCUGGGAACUGCAUCCGAUACUGGAAGACUAGAAUGCGGGAGAGGGAGGUAGAAUUCCAUGUGUAGCAGUGAAAUGCGUAGAUAUAUGGAGGAANACCAGUGGCAGAGGCGGCCUCCUGGCUCGACAUUGACGCUGAGGUGCGAAAGCGUGGGGAGCAAACUGG
This 253-nucleotide ribosomal RNA is filed under the name uncultured bacterium. Its description in RNAcentral is "partial 16S ribosomal RNA". It matches the Rfam family "Bacterial small subunit ribosomal RNA", at positions 524 to 776 of the family's 1533-position model. The record is from RNAcentral.